This 253-nucleotide ribosomal RNA is filed under the name uncultured bacterium. RNAcentral describes it as "partial 16S ribosomal RNA". It matches the Rfam family "Bacterial small subunit ribosomal RNA", at positions 524 to 776 of the family's 1533-position model. The record is from RNAcentral.
UACGUAGGUGGCAAGCGUUAUCCGGAUUUACUGGGCGUAAAGCGCGCGCAGGCGGUUCGGUCAGUCUGUCGUGAAAUCUCCCGGCUUAACCGGGAGGAGUCGCUGGAUACUGCCGGACUUGAGGGGCGUAGAGGCAAGCGGAAUUCCCGGUGUAGUGGUGAAAUGCGUAGAUAUCGGGAGGAACACCCGUGGCGAAAGCGGCUUGCUGGGCGCCACCUGACGCUGAGGCGCGAAGGCGUGGGGAGCGAACCGG